CUUCUCAGAUGAAGCAUGCCCCACAAGCUCCUGCUGAAGCUAUGGUGAUGGAUGAAGAUAUGGAGCUGGAGAGAGCGAUGCUGAGUAUCUCUCCUUCCAAGCAUCACAUGGAGAGCUCCGUUCCUGCAACAUCCUCAGCUGCCAGACCACAAGAGGCUUCAGGAACAGAAAGAGGUUCUUAACCAAAAACGUCCUGUUGUCGAUAGACAACUGUGGGAACAUGAAUCCUUAUCCCAAACAGAAGCAUGUCUUAAAUUGUUCCGUCUCAGGUUGACCACGUUCUGGUCGUGUCUCAGGUUGAUCACGUUCUGGUCGUGUCUGUGUUUUGGUGUUCUACUUAAGAGUCCUAGUGACUAUGAAUUGAUUCCAGUCAUGAUGAGGCUAAGUAUCAUUCCUUAUUUCCUUAUAUGGAUAAAAUGCUAAAACUGCUGUGUUGACUAACACUUGAAUGCAUGUGCUUGCCGUGUGCCAUAUUGCUUCCCCUGCUCAGGCUCAAUUAUAUGACUGAAUACUGAAUAUUAAUCCAUACAAAAAAAUGAAUGUGUGUUAAUGAAUGUUUUCUUUACAUAUUCAUGUAAGAAACCGUCUUUCACUAUAUCAAGCUGAGAGAAGCAGUGUCAUCUGCUAGACUGUCCACACCGACUGAAGUGAAGGGUUCACACGGAGAUGCCUCAGCUCUGCAGCAGUAAAGAGACCAGUGCCCCUGUCUAAGGAGCUGAUGUUCCUCUUACCACAAACAGAAUGUCCUCUGCCAACAAAGACAACUGUCACGGUUCCAGAGACCCUUCUGAUGCCUCCUGAGACAUCCACAGAGCCCAGUCAAGUGCUACUGCAACCACCAAUUGCACAGCAAGCUCAAAGUCAGCCUUUACCCAAGCCAUCAGCCGUCCCCAGCAUUCCUCCUCCACAGCUGGCCGUCCUCACAAUCUGAGUAGACUGGCCCUGCUGCUGAGGAGCAUCCCCAGAGCAUGAUGCUGCCACCACCAUGCUUCACGCUGGAGAUGCUGGUGGCUCCGACUGGUGAAGAACCCGGGCAACAUAUGUUGUAUGUGCAUUCUCUCCUAUCUGAGCCACUGAGGCUUGUAACUCCUGCAGAGUGGUCCUAGGUGUCUUGGUGACUUCCCUCCCCAGUCUUCUUCUUGUCCGGUCACUCAGAUUGUGAGGACGGCCAGCUC
Molecule: long non-coding RNA, 1175 nt
Organism: Centropristis striata (black sea bass)
Lineage: Eukaryota; Metazoa; Chordata; Actinopteri; Perciformes; Serranidae
Exons: 8
Source: RefSeq, a predicted model, not a curated record